This is a non-coding RNA of Seriola aureovittata, 375 nucleotides long. Lineage: Eukaryota; Metazoa; Chordata; Actinopteri; Carangiformes; Carangidae. The record is from the annotation of a RefSeq genome assembly.
GCCGGCAGCACAAUGAUGAUGUCUCUGACUCUACUGCUGGCCACCCUGGGGCUCCUUGUUCAGGGUUCAUCAGGAGAAAUCGUCCUGACUCAGUCUCCUGGAUCUCAGUCUGUUGUUCCAGGACAGACUGUCUCUAUCACAUGUAAAGCCAGUUCAAGUGUUAUUUAUGACAUGCAGUGGUACCUUCAGAAACCUGGAGAAACUCCUAAACUCCUCAUAUAUGAUGAUACAAACCGUUACUCUGGAGUUCCAGAUCGUUUUAGUGGAAGUAAAUCUGGUGACACUGACUUCACUCUGACCAUCAGUGGAGUUCAGACUGAAGAUGCAGGAGUUUACUACUGUCAGCAGGAUGAGAGUUUUCCGUUCACACAGUGA